Non-coding RNA from Misgurnus anguillicaudatus (oriental weatherfish), 1625 nucleotides. The record is from RefSeq and is a predicted model, not a curated record. NCBI's taxonomy places the organism in Eukaryota, Metazoa, Chordata, Actinopteri, Cypriniformes, Cobitidae.
UUCGAGAUGGGUCUGUCUGCGGACCGCAAGAGAGGGGCGUGCCGUUAAGGGGCGUAACUUUUAGCAGGGGGCGUAACUUUAAGUUGUCCAAGUUACACAGAACCACGCGAGACGUCAGGACGAGAUGUUGUCAUUCUGUCUUCUCUUCUGCCCGCAUAGAGAUACGGUGGCUAAAGGCGUUAUUAAAGUUGCUCAUCCAAGCGUUUGUUCGUACCAAUUGUAAUGGACGGGAAGCCGACUGACGAACAUCCUUUUCCUGAGAAAUGGUUCGGCUACGACACAUGUUAAGAAGUCACGCCAGGGGCUGAAUUACGUUCGACCGUUUCAGCUGCAUUGAUGUGAAGUGAUGCAGUGGACAACUUGUGAGGGUGAUACCAUCCACAUGCACCUUAACUGUGAUGCAGAAAUACAAUAGGAUGAUCCAUCUGUCUACACUUCAAAAUCACAACUCAACCUUAAACAACCCAUAUCUGUUAUGGUAAAACAAUGUGGCGGUUUUCCAGACAGGGCUUAUACUGUUCCUGGGCUAAAAUGCAUGUUUGAGCUACUGUAAUUAAGAAAACACCUUGUACUGACACAUCUCAACAUAUAUCAAUGCCAUUGUUUUGUUUCAAGAUGCACACCAGUCUUGUUUUUGUAAGGUUUGUUUGUAAAAACUAAAAUGUCCUAAUAUAAGUGCCCAGUCCUGGUUUAAUCUAAACCAUUGGUGACCAAACCUGUGUCUUGAGAUCUACUGUCCUGCAGAGUUCAGCUCCAACCCCAAUCAAACACACCUGAACCUGCCAAUCAAGCAUUUCAGGGCAACCUUAAAAUUAUAGUCAGGUGUGUUUGUUAAAGCUGGGUUAGAACUAAAAUAUGCAGGAGGGUAGAUCUCCAGGAACAGGGUUGUUCACCCCUGAUCUAAACAAAGGGUUUCCAAACUGUGUCCUGCAAAGUUUAGCUCUAACCAUAAUCAAACACACCUGAAGCAGCCAAUUAAGGUCUUACUAAGCAUAAUAGAAACUUACUGGCAAGUGCUCUGAUGCAAGUUAGAGCUAAACUCUGCAGGACACCAGCCCUCCAGGACUGAGUUUGGGCACCCCUGACUAAGCCCUGCCUGGGAAACUGCACCAAUGUGUUGAGCUGGCACCAUUGGACAUUACUGCUGCUGAGAAACAACCACAUUUCUCAGCUCUACACAGUGUUGACAUUGAAUGCAUUAUUAUUAUAAAAUGCAUUCAUGUGCACUUUACCAAUACUGUACAUACAUCAACAGCUUCCAGCUAUACACUUGGGAUCAGCUCCUGAUGACUCUCAUAAUGCUGUUUUAUAAUUUAUUGCAGGGUGAUCUUGCUGAAAGGAUAUUUUAUAAACCUUUACAAUGUCACCAGAUGUUACCUGUUGUGAAUAAUUAUUUUAUAAACCUUUACAAUCUCACCAGUUGUUACAUGUUGUGGAUAGUUAUUUUUAUAAACCUUUACAAUUUCACCAGAUGUUACAUGUUGUGAAUGGUUAUUUUUAUAAACCUUUACAAUGUCACCAGUUGUUACAUGUUGUGCAUAGUUAUUUUUAUAAACCUUUACAAUGUCACCAGAUGUUACCUGUUGUGAAAAGUUAUUUUUAUAAACCGUUACAAUGUCACCAGA